RNAcentral lists this ribosomal RNA (1716 nucleotides) under Triticum aestivum (bread wheat). RNAcentral describes it as "partial small subunit ribosomal RNA". The record is from RNAcentral. Lineage: Eukaryota; Viridiplantae; Streptophyta; Magnoliopsida; Poales; Poaceae.
AUGAAGGACAUGGCGAGUAUCAAGAAGGAGCGGGUGAGAAAGACCAUCUUGGCCGCCAUAUCUUCUUCUGAUUUACAUAUGAAGCUGGAGCUUGUUGACACGCUGGAACGGACUGGUGUGGCCUAUCACUUUGGCAAAGAGAUCCAAGAGUUAGUAUGUGGCAUGCAAGGUGACGAACAAGGCUUUGGUGACGACCUCCACAUAACCGCAUCGCGGUUCUACUUGUUGAGGAAGCAUGGGUACCACGUAUCUCCUGAUGUGUUUCUAAAGUUUAAAGAUGACCGAGGAAACUUUGCAAGCAAUGAUGUGAACUCAUUGUUGGCACUGUACAAUGCGGCAUAUCUUAGGACUCGUGGGGAAGAAGUGUUGGAUGAUGCUAUUAUUUUCACCAAGAGCCGUCUACAAUGCAUGCUAGAACAUCUAGAACCGUGGUUGGCAGAAGAGGUCCGGUGUACACUGGAGACACCCAGUUUCAGGAGAGUUGAGAGAGUGGAAACUAGACGUUACAUCCCGGCGUAUGAGAAGAAGUCAACACGAGAUGAAGACAUAUUGGAGUUUGCUAAGUUUGACUCCAACAUUUUGCAAACACUCUAUUGUGAGGAGUUGAAAGCUAUUACUAUUUGGUGGAAAGACUUCAAAUCGCAAAUGGAUAUAAAAUUUGCACGAGACAGAAUGGUGGAGCUACACUUUUGGAUACUUGGAGUUGUCUAUGAGCCGCAAUAUUCCUAUUCACGUGUAAUGCUAACAAAACUGCUCAUAUUUGUGUCGUUAUUUGAUGACUUCUAUGACAACUAUAGCACCACAGAAGAAAGCAACAUCUUCACCGCGGCCAUGGAAAGGUGGGGUGAACAAGCUGCAGAGAAUUUACCAGAAAACUUGAAGGCAUUGUACAUCAACAUACUUAACACUACAAAUGAUAUCGAGGAAGAGUUAAAGCAUCAGAAAAAUAAGAAUGCUGAAUUGGUAAAAGAUUUGGUAAUCCACGUGGCCAAAUGCUAUCACGCUGAGGUGAAAUGGCGUGACGAACACUACGUACCAACUAGUGUUGAAGAGCAUCUGCAAAUUUCAGUGCGCAGCAGUGCUUGUAUGCAAAUAAUAAGCUUUGUAUUCAUUUCGCUGGGUGAUGUGACUACAAGAGAGGUGCUUGAGUGGGCUUUAACCUAUCCAAAAAUUAUCAGAUCUGUAUGCAUUGUUGGGCGCAUUGGCAAUGACAUGGUGUCACAUGAGGGUGUGAAUGGAGCUCUUUUGUUGAUCCUAAAAGUAGGGAAGCAAUAUCUAUGGAUGCCACUGUUAUUGGCCCUAGCCCCUGCGGGAGCAAGACUUCUAUCUAGAUCCUAUACAACUGCCACAUUGGCAAAAUCCCUAGGCAGGGGGAUUCCAAAUGCAACAGCCAUCACGACCACCUCAAAUUCAACCAACAAUGGUCAUGUGGAGCGUGAACAAAUAUCACAACAUGUGACAUCCACGGUGCAAACUUGUACAAAAGAGCACGGGAUAACGGUAGCAAAAGCCAAUGAGAAGCUCAAGGUGAUAAUUGAAGAAGCAUGGAUGGACAUAGUCUGCGAAUGCCUCCACAAAAAACAGCCAAUGGUGUUUCUAGAGAAGGCAACCGAUCUUGCCCGGACAAUGGAUUUUAUGUACAAGCGUGAAGAUGCGUUUACCCUCCCAUCCAGUCUCAAAGAGACCUUAACUUCACUUUAUGUGAAUUACAUAUGA